GCCGGGCGUGGUGGCUCACACCUGUAAUCCCAGCACUUUGGGAGGCAGAGGCAGGUGGAUCACCUGAGGUCAGGAGUUCAAGACCAGCCUGGCCAACAUGGUGAAACCCUGUCUCUA
RNAcentral lists this non-coding RNA (117 nucleotides) under Gorilla gorilla gorilla (western lowland gorilla). The record is from Rfam by way of RNAcentral. Lineage: Eukaryota; Metazoa; Chordata; Mammalia; Primates; Hominidae.